GAUGAACGCUGGCGGCGUGCCUAAUACAUGCAAGUCGAGCGAACGGACGAGAAGCUUGCUUCUCUGAUGUUAGCGGCGGACGGGUGAGUAACACGUGGAUAACCUACCUAUAAGACUGGGAUAACUUCGGGAAACCGGAGCUAAUACCGGAUAAUAUUUUGAACCGCAUGGUUCAAAAGUGAAAGACGGUCUUGCUGUCACUUAUAGAUGGAUCCGCGCUGCAUUAGCUAGUUGGUAAGGUAACGGCUUACCAAGGCAACGAUGCAUAGCCGACCUGAGAGGGUGAUCGGCCACACUGGAACUGAGACACGGUCCAGACUCCUACGGGAGGCAGCAGUAGGGAAUCUUCCGCACUGGGCGAAAGCCUGACGGAGCCCCGCCGCGUGAGUGAUGAAGGUCUUCGGAUCGUAAAACUCUGUUAUUAGGGAAGAACAUAUGUGUAAGUAACUGUGCACAUCUUGACGGUACCUAAUCAGAAAGCCACGGCUAACUACGUG
RNAcentral lists this ribosomal RNA (497 nucleotides) under uncultured bacterium. Its description in RNAcentral is "partial 16S ribosomal RNA". It matches the Rfam family "Bacterial small subunit ribosomal RNA", at positions 28 to 507 of the family's 1533-position model. The record is from RNAcentral.